GCUGGAGCUGAGAAAGGUUAGCCCUGA
This 27-nucleotide non-coding RNA is filed under the name Homo sapiens (human). The record is from RNAcentral. Lineage: Eukaryota; Metazoa; Chordata; Mammalia; Primates; Hominidae.